Molecule: ribosomal RNA, 480 nt
Filed under: uncultured bacterium
Lineage: Bacteria
Description: bacterial SSU rRNA
Rfam family: Bacterial small subunit ribosomal RNA
Source: RNAcentral
UGGCGGCAGGCCUAACACAUGCAAGUCGAGCGGUAACAGUUUCUAGCUUGCUAGAAGAUGACGAGCGGCGGACGGGUGAGUAACGCGUAGAAAUCUACCUAGUAGUGGGGGAUAGCCCAGAGAAAUUUGGAUUAAUACCGCAUACGCCCUACGGGGGAAAGCGGGGGAUCUUCGGACCUCGUGCUAUUAGAUGAGUCUGCGUCGGAUUAGCUUGUUGGUGAGGUAAUGGCUCACCAAGGCGACGAUCCGUAGCUGGUCUGAGAGGAUGACCAGCCACACUGGAACUGAGACACGGUCCAGACUCCUACGGGAGGCAGCAGUGGGGAAUAUUGCACAAUGGGCGCAAGCCUGAUGCAGCCAUGCCGCGUGUGUGAAGAAGGCCUUAGGGUUGUAAAGCACUUUCAGCAGUGAGGAAAGGGGUGUCGUUAAUAGCGCCAUCCUGUGACGUUAACUGCAGAAGAAGGACCGGCUAACUCCGUG